This 539-nucleotide long non-coding RNA is filed under the name Homo sapiens (human). RNAcentral describes it as "HSALNT0321805". Lineage: Eukaryota; Metazoa; Chordata; Mammalia; Primates; Hominidae. The record is from RNAcentral.
CGGUGUGAAGACACAGGAAUACGACAUAACAACAGAUACAGAGCCUGGAGUAAUGACAGUACAAGUCAAGGAACACCAAGGAUCACCAGCUGCCACCCAACCCAGGAAGAGUAUCUUUCAGAGCCACCCGGUGAAUGGAACUGAAAUGCUACAGGAGUUUGCUUUGGGAUGCUGCAGUGCUGCUAAUGGCUGAGGGCAUCACUGAGAUGUUCUGUAACUCACUGCAGGCGAGAUGCCGCUUCAGUAUCCCAUACCUUUGGCUGCUCUUCGUCUACUAUACCUCCUCACACUUCUCCCAGUCACCUUUCCAGCAGCUGUGAUUCCAGCUGAUUUUGGCCACCCACAUUGAUCUGGACAGGAUGCCUCUCAGAUGGAGUCUCCUCAGCCGCCCAGGUUGGAGUGCAGUGGCGUGAUCUCAGCUCACUGCAACCACUGUCUCCCGGGUUCAAUAGAUUCUCCCAACUCAGCCUCCCGAGUAGCUGGGAUUACAGGCACCUGCCAUCAUGCCUGGCUAAUUAGAGAAUAACUUUUUACAGGAC